Molecule: long non-coding RNA, 1565 nt
Organism: Eptesicus fuscus (big brown bat)
Lineage: Eukaryota; Metazoa; Chordata; Mammalia; Chiroptera; Vespertilionidae
Exons: 4
Source: RefSeq, a predicted model, not a curated record
CAUAGAUAAAAGCAUUAUAAAACAUCCAUAUUAUGUAAUAUUUUUGAAACCAUUAAAUUCAGAAUAUUAUUUAAUGACCAGAGAAAUGCUCCUUAUGCCAUAAUAUGCCUGAGCACUAUAGAGGGAGUGGAGAUGGAGAGAAGUAGACAGGUUUGGUACAUAUUUUGGAGCUAGAAUAUACUUUCUUGUAGGAGCUGAUUGCUUCUAAAUGGGUGGUGGGGAGUGUGAAUUGAAGAGUCAAUGACAAACGUGUAGAUUAAUGGCUAGAACAGCUGGGUGGAUGACUGACAUUUAUAGAGACUAUGGAGAUGGGAGAGGAAAGGAAAACAAUUUGGAUGGUAGAGCAAUAAAAAUUAAAUAUCAAAAAAGGAAGAAUUAAAAUGUGGACAUGUUAAAUCUGAGAUGUUCGUGAAAUGUCCAACUGUAGGUUAAGUGUGUCAGCAACAUGCAUGUCUAGCGCUCAGAGGGGAGUUGGUAUUGGAGACAGAGAUUUCGGCUCCAUAGGCAUGUGUUUAAAAAUGGUGGGAAAUGAUAAAUUCUCAGAGACAGGGUGGGGAAAAGAGAAAAAAGGGCCAGACCUAAAGAACAACAACAUUGAGAGGUUAGGUGCAGGUGGAGCGCUUAGCAACGAACAUGAAGGAGAAACCAGAGAACUGGAAACCCCAAAGAGGAUGAUGUCACAAAAGCCAGUAGAGGAGAGUUUUACAAGGUGUGAGCAAUCAACUAUGUUCACCGCUGUUGAGAGGUCAAUCCUGUGAAGAAGGAGCCACAAGGGCCCAUUGUGUUUGGCAAUGUGGAGGUCUCAUCUUCCUAACGGAUGCACAGAAUCAACAGAGAUAAAGCACGCAUACUCACAGACCAUGGUCAGCACCCUGACUGAGAUGCUGUGUGUGUGAGGUUCCUGAGAAGGAGCUCGGCAGGGCCCCUCUCACUGUUCAGAAUUUGUUGGAAGCAAGUAAGUUAAGCAUUUGCCAUCUGACUGUACAGGAACAUCGGGAAACCAGUUUCUGACUCAGCGGAUGAGCUCAUCACACAAGAAACAAUAAUUCAGAUGUAAAUUUCCUAGCUAAAUGCUGCCUGUACCAUCUGCUGGGACUUCUCACCGUUUUUCAGGCCACCUGACUCAGCUAAGCAUGAGUAAAUGCGACACUGAGCUUCAGAAAGACUUAUUGACAGCUUGACAGUGUCGAGACUCCAGUCCUGACCGUGGGUUCUCAGAAGACCAUGCUCCUAAUCACCAAGUGAUAUUGCAUCCCCAGUGCUGGCCCAGGAAGAGAUCACUUCUGUACCUUCCUGUCCUCCGGGCAGCUGUGACUCAUAAAUGAGCUCUGGCUCAGCAGCCUGGUUUUCACUGGCUUCUUGAGGUGGGAAAGGGGAGGGACUGGGACUGGCUGAACCAGGUUCUGGCUUUGUCCUGAGGGGAUCCAUUUCUCUGGGGAUGAGAAAUGGGCAAGGAGGAGAUAAUGUGAGGCUUUUGUGAGAAAAUAAUGAGCAAAUCCCAGAUUGUAGCUUGUGAGAAGGGGUUGGUCCUCCCUGCAAGUCCCAUCUAUAGGGACUCCUCGUCU